This 200-nucleotide ribosomal RNA is filed under the name uncultured Glomus. RNAcentral's name for it is "partial small subunit ribosomal RNA". It matches the Rfam family "Eukaryotic small subunit ribosomal RNA", at positions 591 to 797 of the family's 1831-position model. Lineage: Eukaryota; Fungi; Glomeromycota; Glomeromycetes; Glomerales; Glomeraceae. The record is from RNAcentral.
CCAAUAGCGUAUAUUAAAGUUGUUGCAGUUAAAAAGCUCGUAGUUGAAUUUCGGGAUCAAAGGAUCGGUCAUGCCUUGGUAUGUACUGGUUUUAUUGGUUCUCACCUUCUAAAGAACCAUGAUGUCAUUCAUUUGAUGUUAUGGGGAAUUAGGACUGUUACCUUGAAAAAAUUAGAGUGUUUAAAGCAAGCUUACGCUUG